ACAUACCGCCACUGUUCUACGAGAGGAUACGGACCAUGACUGACGUCAAGGACGACGAGGGCAUUCCAUUGGAUCUUCCCUUAUUCUGGUGGGCCGUGCUUCGUCAAUUCGCGACAAUCCUGUCACAACGAGGCUGUCUGUACGAAAAAAACGCCAAACAUCGACGUACCCUUGGCUACGGCACCGACAAAGUUUGG
Rhipicephalus sanguineus (brown dog tick) is the source of this 197-nucleotide long non-coding RNA. RefSeq lists it as uncharacterized. NCBI's taxonomy places the organism in Eukaryota, Metazoa, Arthropoda, Arachnida, Ixodida, Ixodidae. The record is from RefSeq and is a predicted model, not a curated record. The transcript has 3 exons.